This 265-nucleotide long non-coding RNA is filed under the name Gossypium barbadense (sea-island cotton). RNAcentral describes it as "long non-coding RNA (GBAR_LNC003290)". Lineage: Eukaryota; Viridiplantae; Streptophyta; Magnoliopsida; Malvales; Malvaceae. The record is from RNAcentral.
UUGUAUAUAGGUUUACCACACAAACAUGGCCAAGCACACGGGCGUGCUUAGGACUGUGUGGAAACAGGGCAAAGAUUUUCCCCAGCACGGGCUACAAUAAAUUGCCACGGCCGUGCCACAUGGCCACGGGCGAACCUGCGAAAACAACACGGGCGUGUGAUACGCCCAUGCCUUGAAACCAUGGCCGAACUUGUCAAAUUAACACGGGCGUGUGACAUGCCCGUGCCAAGCAACUGUGGGUGAACCUGCCAAAACAACAUAGUCG